Molecule: long non-coding RNA, 743 nt
Filed under: Nicotiana benthamiana
Lineage: Eukaryota; Viridiplantae; Streptophyta; Magnoliopsida; Solanales; Solanaceae
Description: long non-coding RNA (NBEN_LNC023030)
Source: RNAcentral
UUUCUUAUCAUACUAUCAUGGGUAAAUGGGCCAGGAAACUCAUCAUGAGAUAACAAGAAUGAAACAUAAGGGAAUACUCAACAUAUGACGACCCAACAUGAUAUGCAAACUUAUACAUGUGACAUACGGGACUAUAAGACCGACAUGACGAUUUGUAAACUCAAACAUAGGCCGAAAAGGCCAUAAAUAUAUCCAUACAUCUGACAUUUGUCACAAGCCUCUAAUAGUACCUAAUAUCAUAAAGGUCGGGACAGGGCCUUCCAUACCAAUCAAUAUAUAUAUCCAAAUGCAUACCGACCAAAUAGGCAACUAUGGAGCAAGUGAAGUUCACCAACACCUUCUGUUGAGCUUAUAGCCUACUUGGAGGACUGUCAACCUAUCAAUCGAGACCUGCGGGCAUGAAACGCAGCAUCCCCAGGCAAAAGGGACGUCGUAUUUAAUGCAGGAAAGCAUAAAUAAGAACAGUUAUGCAAAGUGAGAUGGAGGAGUUACAACCUGUAACAUCUGAGUGCCUCUGGGAGCUACUGAUAUGAAAUGCAUAACUCAUAUAUAUACAUAAACGUUUUUAAAGACAUUCGCCUCUGUGGGCAUCAUCAUCAUCAUAUUGUACCCUGCCUCAAAGAGGACUCGAUAAAAAUGUACCUGGCCAUCAUAACGCUCGGUCGAAUCGUACCCGUCCACGUGGAGCUCGGUAAACCGAACAGAGCAGUGGUUGCAUAAUAGGUGUUGUACCUGGCCGGCUA